This 341-nucleotide ribosomal RNA is filed under the name uncultured bacterium. RNAcentral's name for it is "bacterial SSU rRNA". It matches the Rfam family "Bacterial small subunit ribosomal RNA", at positions 36 to 407 of the family's 1533-position model. The record is from RNAcentral.
CUGGCGGCGUGCUUAACACAUGCAAGUCGAACGAACCUUCGGGUUAGUGGCGGACGGGUGAGUAACGCGUGAGAAUCUGCCCUCAGGAGGGGGACAACAGCUGGAAACGGCUGCUAAUACCCCAUAUGCCGCGAGGUGAAAUGAAUUUCGCCUGAGGAUGAGCUCGCGUCUGAUUAGCUAGUUGGUGUAGGUAAUGGCUCACCAAGGCAUCGAUCAGUAGCUGGUCUGAGAGGAUGAUCAGCCACACUGGGACUGAGACACGGCCCAGACUCCUACGGGAGGCAGCAGUGGGGAAUUUUCCGCAAUGGGCGAAAGCCUGACGGAGCAACGCCGCGUGAGGG